This 69-nucleotide transfer RNA is filed under the name Synchiropus sycorax (ruby dragonet). RNAcentral describes it as "tRNA-Pro". It matches the Rfam family "tRNA". From Rfam's summary of the family: Transfer RNA (tRNA) molecules are approximately 80 nucleotides in length. The record is from RNAcentral. Lineage: Eukaryota; Metazoa; Chordata; Actinopteri; Syngnathiformes; Callionymidae.
CAGAACAUAGUUUAAUGAGAAUUUUGGCUUUGGGAGCCAUAGGCGGAGGUUAAAGCCCUUCUGUUCUGA